This 795-nucleotide ribosomal RNA is filed under the name uncultured bacterium. RNAcentral describes it as "bacterial SSU rRNA". It matches the Rfam family "Bacterial small subunit ribosomal RNA", at positions 1 to 813 of the family's 1533-position model. The record is from RNAcentral.
UUUACGCGCGAUCGCCUUGAGUUGAUCAUGGCUCAGCCUGAACGCUGGCGGCGUGGCUAAGACAUGCAAGUCGUACGGGGCCCGCAAGGGUCCAGUGGCGAACGGGUGAGUAAUGUAUCGCUAACGUGCCCCCGAGUCAGGGAUAGCUGCCCGAAAGGGCAGGUAAUACCUGAUGAGACCACGACCGGGCAUCCGGUUGUGCUCAAAGCAGCAAUGCGCUCAGGGAGCGGGCGAUAUCGUAUCAGCUAGUUGGUGAGGUAACGGCUCACCAAGGCGACGACGCGUAGCCGGACUGAGAGGUUGGCCGGCCACAUUGGGACUGAGACACUGCCCAGACUCCUACGGGGGGCUGCAGUAACGAAUCUUCCGCAAUGCACGAAAGUGUGACGGAGCGACGCCGCGUGUGGGACGAAGUCCUUCGGGAUGUAAACCACUGUCAGGGGUUACCAAGUUCUGAGGAGCCCCAGAGGAAGGCACGGCUAACUCUGUGCCAGCAGCCGCGGUAAGACAGAGGUGCCAAGCGUUAGGCGGAAUCACUGGGCUUAAAGCGUGUGUAGGCGGAUCGUUAAGUACCUUGUGAAAUCCCACGGCUCAACCGUGGAACUGCUGGGUAUACUGGCGAUCUUGAGCCACCUAGGGGCGAGCGGAACAAGCGGUGGAGCGGUGAAAUGCGUAGAUAUCGCUUGGAACGCCAAUGGUGAAACAGCUCGCUGGGGGUGUGCUGACGCUGAGACACGAAAGCCAGGGGAGCGAACGGGAUUAGAUACCCCGGUAGUCCUGGGCCCUAACGAUGUC